UCGUCAGUAGGUUGGUCGUGCCACCGGUACGUACUGGUCUCACUGAUUCCUCCUUCCUGAAGAACCGUAAUGCCAUUAAUUUGGUGUUGCGGGGAAACAGGACUGUUACUUUGAAAAAAUUAGAGUGUUUAAAGCAAGCUAACGCUUGAAUACAUUAGCAUGGAAUAAUGAAAUAGGACGAUCGACCCUAUUUUGUUGGUUUCUAGGAUUGACGUA
RNAcentral lists this ribosomal RNA (216 nucleotides) under Glomeromycotina sp. RNAcentral describes it as "partial small subunit ribosomal RNA". The stretch from base 40 to 216 matches the Rfam family "Eukaryotic small subunit ribosomal RNA", at positions 686 to 864 of the family's 1831-position model. The record is from RNAcentral. Lineage: Eukaryota; Fungi; Glomeromycota.